The submitters of this non-coding RNA (62 nucleotides) gave its source as unclassified sequences. The record is from Rfam.
CCUUUGGAGAGUUAUAUCAAAGGAAAGUAGCUACGGCAAAAUCGGAUUCUGUGAAGAAGGAA